Molecule: long non-coding RNA, 685 nt
Organism: Molossus molossus (Pallas's mastiff bat)
Lineage: Eukaryota; Metazoa; Chordata; Mammalia; Chiroptera; Molossidae
Exons: 3
Source: RefSeq, a predicted model, not a curated record
CUGAAGUUGCUGGCUGCCCAGACCCGGAGUGGUGCUCACUCUCACUCCGCUGCUGUCAGGGCGCUCACUCUCAGACAGAGCCUUUGCUCCGGACAGAAAUGUAGGAAAACUCUUUUUCAUCAUGCAUGUAUAUACUGAUCGACGGUGUGAGGGCUCCGGAUAGGUAUGCGACAUCAUUGACAGCGCCAGAAUAACAAAAUCUCUUCCAGAAGUUCUACUUUAGGGCUGCCUAUAGGACUGGCACGUUGAGAACAGUGAUCUCAUCUUUAUUCUGGGUUUCAACAUUUAUGUCACCUCCUCAGAAAGGCCUUUCCAGACCACUCAAUCGAAAGCAACCUCUCUGGACCCCUUCCAUCUGUUUAGUUUUACUGCCGUAUCCCCAGGGUCCAGCACAGGGCCUGACAUACAGGUGCUCAGCCAAUGUCUGCUGAAUGCAUGAAUUUCACGUCACGGAAGAAAUGUAGUGCUAUCCAACCUGAGUAGUGGACAGCCCAGAGGCAGGCAGUGUUCGAGUUGGUCUCUGAGGAGAAAAUGAAAUCGUCCCAGUCCUAGGCUGUGUAAGAGACGUCUCACAGUCUUCAGAAGUUUUACUGCUUCUAAUGGCCCAAGGCUCCGCGGUGAGAAGGUGCAGAGAGGGAUCUGAAUGUGGAACCGAACAUUCUAGAAACCAAUAAAACGCUUUAAG